This 253-nucleotide ribosomal RNA is filed under the name uncultured bacterium. RNAcentral's name for it is "partial 16S ribosomal RNA". It matches the Rfam family "Bacterial small subunit ribosomal RNA", at positions 526 to 779 of the family's 1533-position model. The record is from RNAcentral.
CGUAGGUGGCAAGCGUUGUCCGGAUUUAUUGGGUUUAAAGGGUGCGUAGGCGGCCGUAUAAGUCAGUGCUGAAAUAUCCCGGCUUAACCGGGAGGGUGGCAUUGAUACUGUAUGGCUUGAGUAAAGUUGAGGUUGGCGGAAUUGACGGUGUAGCGGUGAAAUGCUUAGAUAUCGUCAAGAACACCUAUUGCGAAGGCAGCUAACUAAGCUUAACUGACGCUGAGGCACGAAAGUGUGGGGAUCAAACAGGAUU